GACGAACGCUGGCGGCGUGCUUAACACAUGCAAGUCGAACGGAAAGGCCCUGCUUUUGUGGGGUGCUCGAGUGGCGAACGGGUGAGUAACACGUGAGAAACCUGCCCUUGACUUUGGGAUAACUUCAGGAAACUGGGGCUAAUACCGGAUAGGAGCUCCUGCUGCAUGGUGGGGGUUGGAAAGUUUCGGCGGUUGGGGAUGGACUCGCGGCUUAUCAGCUGGUUGGUGGGGUAGUGGCUUACCAAGGCUUUGACGGGUAGCCGGCCUGAGAGGGUGACCGGCCACAUUGGGACUGAGAUACGGCCCAGACUCCUACGGGAGGCAGCAGUGGGGAAUAUUGCACAAUGGGCGGAAGCCUGAUGCAGCAACGCCGCGUGCGGGAUGACGGCCUUCGGGUUGUAAACCGCUUUCGCCUGUGACGAAGCGUGAGUGACGGUAAUGGGUAAAGAAGCACCGGCUAACUACGUG
RNAcentral lists this ribosomal RNA (468 nucleotides) under uncultured bacterium. RNAcentral describes it as "partial 16S ribosomal RNA". It matches the Rfam family "Bacterial small subunit ribosomal RNA", at positions 28 to 507 of the family's 1533-position model. The record is from RNAcentral.